UGGCAUUGCUGCCAGUUGUCUCCUUGCUCUCUCAAUUUCACUCUCUUCUUCUUCGACAAGCUGAAAGGGAUAUGGGGGAAAAUUCAGAUUAGGGCUUUUACUCGGCGAUUUUGCAAGCCUUUCUCCGAUACAUCACGAACCAGGGAGAAGGCACUCUUGGGCCACCACCAAGUCACCGCAUACAUAACGAACAACAAUUUCGACGACGAAAUCAUCCUUCUCCGGCACACGAGCAAUAUCAACAUUCGUUUUUAACCGACCUGCAGUCAGAAAAUUCCAGCGACACUCCUCUCUAGAACUCAAUGGAGGGUUCCACGGCCUGAGGGGCCUUUUCGUCUGGCAAGGUAGGAAGAUGGAAACACUGCAUCGAGGAGGCUCUACGAUCAGCAGAUCAACAUCUUGCAUACACGCCUCAAUCCAACAACCUUCUCUUCCACCGACAGAUAUCUAAAGACUGAUUCACCAGAUUUCUAUCGUUCCAAAUAACCCAACUUAUAACACCAAAUCUCAAGAAUUCCUUCUUUCUCAGUCGAUUCGCCACUUAACAGAGAAACUCACAAAUAGGUGCUUCAACAUCAACAAUAUGUUUAAGGAUAGAUGGAAAUGGAGAAUAAAGUUGGGGCCAUCCGACAAGGAAGCCCACACCCAAUCGCUACAUUCUAACACUUCAUCGUCAAAGAAAUUUUCUGUUGACAUCAUGAAUCACCAUAUGUGUGGCCUAGUUCUCACUGGAAAUUCAUUUUUUAAGCUGGUUUUCUCAUAAUAAGAAAUUUCAUCAAUUUCAUCUUCGAUACAGGAUUAUUGUGCUUCUCAUCGCUCAUCUUCAACGAUUCAAAUAAGACUACUGCAACCAAGCCAAUAAAUCGUCAAGUGAGACACUGAAAGAUUGGAAGAGAAAAACCUUAAAUACAAUCAACAAAUUGUUAGAAUGAAGAAUUAGAUUAAAUGUAAACUUCAACGAAAUGAUAAUGUGAUAGAACUAUCUUUCCAUUCAUAAUAAAAAAAAAAAAAAUCAAUCUUA
This is a long non-coding RNA of Cucumis melo (muskmelon), 1021 nucleotides long. RefSeq lists it as uncharacterized. The transcript is spliced from 3 exons. The record is from RefSeq and is a predicted model, not a curated record. NCBI's taxonomy places the organism in Eukaryota, Viridiplantae, Streptophyta, Magnoliopsida, Cucurbitales, Cucurbitaceae.